CCUGAACGCUGGCGGCGUGGCUAAGACAUGCAAGUCGCACGGGACCCGCAAGGGUUCAGUGGCGAACGGGUGAGUAAUGAAUCGCUAAUGUGCCCCGACUCUGAGAUAGCUGCCCGAAACGGGACGAGGUAAUAUCAGAUGAUAUAACCGAACCGACAUGGUUUGGUUCUCAAAGGUCCGCCGGUCUGGGAGCAGGCGAUUUCGUAUCAGCUAGUUGGUGAGGUAACGGCNCACCAAGGCGACGACGCGUAGCCGGACUGAGAGGUUGGCCGGCCGACACUGGGACGUGAGACACGGCCCAGACUCCUACGGGAGGGCAGCAGUGGGGAAGUAUUGGACAAUGGGCGCAAGCCUGAUCCAGCAAUGCCGCGUGGAUGAAGAAGGUCUUCGGA
This 392-nucleotide ribosomal RNA is filed under the name uncultured bacterium. RNAcentral's name for it is "bacterial SSU rRNA". It matches the Rfam family "Bacterial small subunit ribosomal RNA", at positions 30 to 422 of the family's 1533-position model. The record is from RNAcentral.